CGGGAAGCGAGCGUACACAGGUGCUGCAUGGUUGUCGUCAGCUCGUGCCGUGAGGUGUCGGGUUAAGUCCCAUAACGAGCGCAACCCCUAUCAUUAGUUGCCAUCAGGUCAAGCUGGGGACUCUAAUGAAACUGCCUACGCAAGUAGUGAGGAAGGUGGGGACGACGUCAAGUCAUCAUGGCCCUUAUGUCCUGGGCUACACACGUGCUACAAUGGCCGGCACAACGGGAAGCGAGUUCGCGAGGACGAGCGGAUCCCUCAAAGCCGGUCGCAGUUCGGAUUGAAGUCUGCAACUCGACUUCAUGAAGCUGGAAUCGCUAGUAAUCGUGGAUCAGCCAAGCCGCGGUGAAUACGUUCCCGGGCCUU
This 366-nucleotide ribosomal RNA is filed under the name uncultured Bacteroidota bacterium. RNAcentral describes it as "bacterial SSU rRNA". It matches the Rfam family "Bacterial small subunit ribosomal RNA", at positions 1018 to 1382 of the family's 1533-position model. The record is from RNAcentral. Lineage: Bacteria; Pseudomonadati; Bacteroidota.